This 78-nucleotide transfer RNA is filed under the name Pseudomonas phage Astolliot. Its description in RNAcentral is "tRNA-Asp". It matches the Rfam family "tRNA". From Rfam's summary of the family: Transfer RNA (tRNA) molecules are approximately 80 nucleotides in length. Their secondary structure includes four short double-helical elements and three loops (D, anti-codon, and T loops). Lineage: Duplodnaviria; Heunggongvirae; Uroviricota; Caudoviricetes; Vandenendeviridae. The record is from RNAcentral.
UGGUCUAUUAGCUCACUCGGGAGAGCGCUACCCUGUCACGGUAGAGGUAAUGGGAUCGAAACCCAUAUAGACCGCCAA